This 518-nucleotide ribosomal RNA is filed under the name uncultured bacterium. RNAcentral describes it as "bacterial SSU rRNA". It matches the Rfam family "Bacterial small subunit ribosomal RNA", at positions 28 to 482 of the family's 1533-position model. The record is from RNAcentral.
GACGAACGCUGGCGGCGUGGAUUAGGCAUGCAAGUCGAACGGUAUGGACCUUUCGGGGUUCAGAGAGCGGCGAACGGGUGAGUAACACGUAGGUAAUCUACCCUCAAGACGGGGACAACCCAGGGAAACUUGGGCUAAUACCGGAUGUGUGUAGUGGCUAUUUUUCUGAUUAUCAUUAUUUACGUAAGUGAGUAAUAAUAAGAAGGGAAAGUGGUUAUUACAUAAAAGGUGGCGUAAGCUGCCGCUUGGGGAUGAGCCUGCGUCCUAUUAGUUAGUUGGUGAGGUAACGGCUUACCAAGGCGAUGAUAGGUAGGCGGCCUUAACGGGUGGUCGCCCACACUGGGAUUGAGAUACGGCCCAGACUCCUACGGGAGGCAGCAGUCGAGAAUAGUCUACAAUGGACGGAAGUCUGAUAGUGCGACGCCGCGUGAACGAUGAAUCCCUUCGGGGUGUAAAGUUCUUUUAUAUGUGAGCAGUGCUUCUUAUAUUAACAGUAUGGGGAGAGAGAUAUUAGCAUA